This 500-nucleotide ribosomal RNA is filed under the name uncultured eukaryote. RNAcentral's name for it is "SSU rRNA". It matches the Rfam family "Eukaryotic small subunit ribosomal RNA", at positions 34 to 543 of the family's 1831-position model. The record is from RNAcentral.
AUUGUCUCAGACUAAGCCAUGCAUGUCUAAGUAUAAAUGGUAUACAGUGAAACUGCGAAUGGCUCAUUAAAACAGUUAUAGUUUAUUUGGUAAUCGAAUUUACAUGGAUAACCGUGGUAAUUCUAGAGCUAAUACAUGCUGUAAGCCCGACUUUUCGGAAGGGCCGUAUUUAUUAGAUAACAGACCAAUGCCCCCCCGGGCUUUGUGGUGACUCAUAGUAACUAAUCGGAUCGCAUGGGCCUGUCCCGCGACAAACCAUUCAAGUUUCUGCCCCAUCAGCUUUCGAUGGUAGUGUAUUGGACUACCAUGGCUUUUACGGGUAACGGAGGAUUAGGGUUCGAUUCCGGAGAGGGAGCCUGAGAAACGGCUACCACAUCUAAGGAAGGCAGCAGGCGCGUAAAUUACCCAAUCCUAAUUCAGGGAGGUAGUGACAAGAAAUAAUGGGUCGGAAUUAACGUUCCGGGACCGCAAUGAGAUGAAUUUACACCCCUUUUCGAGGA